This 460-nucleotide ribosomal RNA is filed under the name uncultured bacterium. RNAcentral describes it as "partial 16S ribosomal RNA". It matches the Rfam family "Bacterial small subunit ribosomal RNA", at positions 338 to 795 of the family's 1533-position model. The record is from RNAcentral.
CCUACGGGGGGCAGCAGUGAGGAAUAUUGGUCAAUGGACGAGAGUCUGAACCAGCCAAGUAGCGUGAAGGAUGACUGCCCUAUGGGUUGUAAACUUCUUUUAUAUGGGAAUAAAACGUUCCACGUGUGGGAUUUUGUAUGUACCAUAUGAAUAAGGAUCGGCUAACUCCGUGCCAGCAGCCGCGGUAAUACGGAGGAUCCGAGCGUUAUCCGGAUUUAUUGGGUUUAAAGGGAGCGUAGGUGGAUUGUUAAGUCAGUUGUGAAAGUUUGCGGCUCAACCGUAAAAUUGCAGUUGAAACUGGCAGUCUUGAGUACAGUAGAGGUGGGCGGAAUGCGUGGUGUAGCGGUGAAAUGCUGAGAUAUCACGAAGAACUCCGAUUGCGAAGGCAGUUCACUGGACUGCAACUGACACUGAGGCUCGAAAGUGUGGGUAUCAAACAGGAUUAGAUACCCGUGUAGUC